UACGUAGGGUGCAAGCGUUAAUCGGAAUUACUGGGCGUAAAGCGUGCGUAGACGGUAGCGUAAGUCAGAUGUGAAAGCCCCGGGCUCAACCUGGGAAUUGCAUUUGAGACUGCUCUGCUCGGGUGCGGAAGAGGGAAGCGGAAUUUCCGGUGUAGCGGUGAAAUGCGUAGAUAUCGGAAGGAACACCAGUGGCGAAAGCGGCUUCCUGGUCCGACACCGACGUUCAGGCACGAAAGCGUGGGGAGCAAACAGG
RNAcentral lists this ribosomal RNA (253 nucleotides) under uncultured bacterium. Its description in RNAcentral is "partial 16S ribosomal RNA". It matches the Rfam family "Bacterial small subunit ribosomal RNA", at positions 524 to 776 of the family's 1533-position model. The record is from RNAcentral.